GUGGGGAAUAUUGGGCAAUGGGGGAAACCCUGACCCAGCAACGCCGCGUGAAGGAAGAAGGUUUUCGGAUCGUAAACUUCUAUCCUUGGUGAAGAUAAUGACGGUAGCCAAGAAGGAAGCCCCGGCUAACUACGUGCCAGCAGCCGCGGUAAUACGUAGGGGGCAAGCGUUGUCCGGAAUGAUUGGGAGUAAAGGGCGCGUAGGCGGCCUGGUAAGUCUGGAGUGAAAGUCCUGCUUUUAAGGUGGGAAUUGCUUUGGAUACUGUCGGGCUUGAGUGCAGGAGAGGUAAGCGGAAUGCCCGGUGUAGCGGUGAAAUGCGUAGAGAUCGGGAGGAACACCAGUGGCGAAGGCGGCUUACUGGACUGUAACUGACGCUGAGGCGCGAAAGUGUGGAGAGCAAACAGGAUUAGAUACCCCAGUAGUCC
This 425-nucleotide ribosomal RNA is filed under the name uncultured bacterium. RNAcentral describes it as "partial 16S ribosomal RNA". It matches the Rfam family "Bacterial small subunit ribosomal RNA", at positions 354 to 796 of the family's 1533-position model. The record is from RNAcentral.